Vigna unguiculata (cowpea) is the source of this 496-nucleotide long non-coding RNA. RefSeq lists it as uncharacterized. NCBI's taxonomy places the organism in Eukaryota, Viridiplantae, Streptophyta, Magnoliopsida, Fabales, Fabaceae. The record is from RefSeq and is a predicted model, not a curated record.
AUCACCUUCCUUACUUAACUCCCUCCAAAAGCAGAAAUUUGUCUUUCAUAUACCUGGUUUCAGCACGAUGAACAUUUUGUUCUUGGAAGUGAAAAUCAUGUUCACUUUUUUCGCAGAUGUUGUGCUUGUAACAAGAUAAUGGUUAUGUUUCUCUUUUCCUGAUUCAUGGCUUUCAUCAGGUGGUGCUGUCCCAGGAAGCAUUCCCUACAAGAGCUUUAUAUUUUCAUGGCCAAAGGAAUACUUUUCAGAAUGAUGAGAUUGUGGUUUUGCUGAAUGGUGACCACUGUUUUUGUGACUCUCAUGGUUGAUGUUGGCAGAAGAUAACUUCAUCUGUGGCUUUCAGCAUUUGUCAUUGGCAAACUCAUCAAUUAUCAAAUCUGACAGACAAUAUUUGUAUCUUAUAAGGUAAUGAACUAAAGUUAGAAUCCAAAAUCAAUAAUAUAUAUUUUAAAUCUGUUAAAGAUAAUAUUUUUAAAUAUUACCCGUUUUGAAGUUU